CAGCCGCCGCGGUAAUACGUAGGGUGCAAGCGUUAAUCGGAAUUACUGGGCGUAAAGCGUGCGCAGGCGGUUUGUUAAGACAGAUGUGAAAUCCCCGGGCUUAACCUGGGAACUGCAUUUGUGACUGGCGAGCUAGAGUAUGGCAGAGGGGGGUAGAAUUCCACGUGUAGCAGUGAAAUGCGUAGAGAUGUGGAGGAAUACCGAUGGCGAAGGCAGCCCCCUGGGCCAAUACUGACGCUCAUGCACGAAAGCGUGGGGAGCAAACAGGAUUAGAUACCCCAGUAGUCCCUGUCUCUUAUAC
Molecule: ribosomal RNA, 301 nt
Filed under: uncultured bacterium
Lineage: Bacteria
Description: partial 16S ribosomal RNA
Rfam family: Bacterial small subunit ribosomal RNA
Source: RNAcentral